ACCUUAGCACAGUCGCCGCGCAAGCGCACGCGCCCUCUGGCUCGCGCGCCCGCCACAGAGGACGAGCGGGAGGCUUCCCGCUGUCCGCGUGCCGCGGGACGCGCAGGAAAUAGAAGCUCGCAGUUGCUCCGAGGGGACACGGACAAACGGCGCAACACGGCAGAGCAGUUUGAGAUCUAACAGGCUCUCUGCGCUGUAACAGAAGUGAAAAGGCUUGUAAUGGAAUUUCCUCCCAAUGGACAAAGCACGGGCGUCUCAUUUGUUCAAUAUGUGAAUAUGGAAAUAUUGGUUGUAAAAUAUAUAUCUUAAAAGUAAAACCACUGGUUACAGACAAGUAACUAACCAGGGUGUUUCAGUCGUUUAGUUUAUCCAUUUCCAUUUAAUUUAUUUAUAUUGCGCCAAAUCACUUCAUAAGUCAUUUCAAGGCAAAAUAACUUUACAGAACACGAUAAUAUAAUUAUAUAAGGUUACACAGAAACCAGGCUGACGGUGGGCGGACAUCUGCCUCGACCAGUUGGAGUGAGGGGGAGAGAAAACGGACAAAGAGCAACAACACCAGGCACAAAAGACGAGGUUGAAGAGACGAGCACCUGCGUGGAGGCACGCGGCUCCGAGGCAGCGACGCGCCACUGCACCGACGCAUCUGCCACUCACCGUCAGCGGAAAGCCGUCAGUGAGAUCCAGCUGGUAGCCCCGCCCCCCGCUGCGCUACCGCCGCACCGGAGAAGUUACAAUGUAGGGCUAAAGGGGCUGUAUUUUGGGAAACUAAAACCCUUGUUGCCAAGAGCAACCACCAGGUGUGUUCAGCAAAUCAGAAGCUGCAGGUGCAGGAACGGUUCGAAAUCAAGCAGUGCUGCGGCUCCGGAGCACCGGGGUCGACCACGUCUGCCCCAUAAGUUCAACUCAAAGGUCACUUUAUCCUAACCAUCACUGAAUUCCCAGCGCACCGGGGCUCGUGUUGACAGCUUCAUCCACAUUUCAUGCAUUUCCCUCCUACCGCCUGACCGCUCCUGAGCAAAAUGAACCCUCCUCGCCUCAGAAACACGAGGGUUACCAAGCAACCAGACAGAGGCCUCCCUGUAGCAGUGAGUGGAUGGACCUCGGGACCUUGAGCUAGUACUAGGCUAGGGCAUAAAUAGACACGCGAGAUAAAAGUUGGUAUGAGGUCAUAAUAUUAAAAAACUACAGUUGAACAUUUAAUACUUGCCCAAAACCAUUAAUGGCUCUGUCUGAAACUGAAAACAAGCUGUCAAACAGCUCUUUCCUCUGAGACGACGUCUGGGUCAGGAUGUAGCCUAGAACAGCAGCAGGCGGCAGAGACUCUUGUCCCGUCGCCUUGCCCCCCAUCUGUGAGCGUCCAGCUGGAGUAAGUGCCUCCGCGAGUGCCAAGAGGAGAGACAACACUCACUAAAAAUAUUUCUAGUGUGAAAUAUUCAUCACAUCAUGACAGAAUAUUCUUGUGACUGUGGCAUUUUACCUCCUCGGUAUAUAAGCUUUCAAGUGCGCCACAACCUCCUCUCUGAAACCCAGCUACUGUAGCAAAGAGGUGUCAAGAGGCAAUCUAAAGGAACAGGAGGCAGAAAACAGGGUCAGCCAGGAAGCUGCAAGGGGUUCAGCUCGGAGGAUCUAAAGUGACUGCAAUUAGACUGGAAGCAUAAUAAUAUGUUUACAUGAACUUUAGCUCACAAGCUCCAACAACGCCCAUAUUCUCCUCAUUUAAUCCAUUUGCAGCUGUAGUUUGGGAAGAGAACACAAACCGCACGAAAUUCAGAGUAGCGGCGGUGCGAUCGGCCCCGUGCUGAGGAAACGGCCUCUGUGCCAAACUUCAAAGGGGUUUUCUACAAAAUAUGCACAAAAAUGACUCGCUAAUGGAAAAACCUGUCACUCAUACUGACUAAUGCAAAGAGAAUUAGCGCCAAAAAGUACGUGUUCCUUCAAUUAAGGGAGCGUUCCGCUGUCCUCCAGCUCAUUAUUUUGAAGCCCACAACAUUCGUUCUCGUUGCUCCCGUCAACCCGACAGAUGCCACCCAACUGUACAUGGAAAAUAUAUAUGUGAUAAAGAGACUGUUUUAUGGUGGACAUUAAAACAGAGGCAUAAAUCUGCAGCUCCAAGUAUCAAUAAUGACGCUUCCUUUAAACUGGAUGUGUAACUAAGCAACUGUACAAAAACCAAGAUCCAUGAAACUGAUCCAGUCAAUUGAUUUUAGCUGUUCUAAAAUAUUUUUAGACCUGUUAAUUAAAAAAAAAAAAAGUAAACUAGCUAAAC
Long non-coding RNA from Betta splendens (Siamese fighting fish), 2266 nucleotides. RefSeq lists it as uncharacterized. The record is from RefSeq and is a predicted model, not a curated record. NCBI's taxonomy places the organism in Eukaryota, Metazoa, Chordata, Actinopteri, Anabantiformes, Osphronemidae. The transcript has 2 exons.